Molecule: ribosomal RNA, 654 nt
Filed under: uncultured bacterium
Lineage: Bacteria
Description: bacterial SSU rRNA
Rfam family: Bacterial small subunit ribosomal RNA
Source: RNAcentral
GGGGAUAACUACUGGAAACGGUAGCUAAUACCGCAUAACGUCGCAAGACCAAAGAGGGGGACCUUCGGGCCUCUUGCCAUCGGAUGUGCCCAGAUGGGAUUAGCUUGUUGGUGGGGUAACGGCUCACCAAGGCGACGAUCCCUAGCUGGUCUGAGAGGAUGACCAGCCACACUGGAACUGAGACACGGUCCAGACUCCUACGGGAGGCAGCAGUGGGGAAUAUUGCACAAUGGGCGCAAGCCUGAUGCAGCCAUGCCGCGUGUAUGAAGAAGGCCUUCGGGUUGUAAAGUACUUUCAGCGGGGAGGAAGGGAGUAAAGUUAAUACCUUUGCUCAUUGACGUUACCCGCAGAAGAAGCACCGGCUAACUCCGUGCCAGCAGCCGCGGUAAUACGGAGGGUGCAAGCGUUAAUCGGAAUUACUGGGCGUAAAGCGCACGCAGGCGGUUUGUUAAGUCAGAUGUGAAAUCCCCGGGCUCAACCUGGGAACUGCAUCUGAUACUGGCAAGCUUGAGUCUCGUAGAGGGGGGUAGAAUUCCAGGUGUAGCGGUGAAAUGCGUAGAGAUCUGGAGGAAUACCGGUGGCGAAGGCGGCCCCCUGGACGAAGACUGGCGCUCAGGUGCGAAAGCGUGGGGAGCAAACAGGAUUAGAUACCCU